UGGGAUGUGAUAAGCACCUGUGUGUGUCU
This 29-nucleotide non-coding RNA is filed under the name Mus musculus (house mouse). Lineage: Eukaryota; Metazoa; Chordata; Mammalia; Rodentia; Muridae. The record is from RNAcentral.